Pelobates cultripes (western spadefoot toad) is the source of this 72-nucleotide non-coding RNA. The record is from the annotation of a GenBank genome assembly. NCBI's taxonomy places the organism in Eukaryota, Metazoa, Chordata, Amphibia, Anura, Pelobatidae.
UAUCCUGACCCAACUCAUCUGAGCUGGCUAAUGAAUGUUAAUUAACCAGCUCAGAUGAGUUGGGUCAGGAUA